RNAcentral lists this ribosomal RNA (459 nucleotides) under uncultured bacterium. RNAcentral's name for it is "partial 16S ribosomal RNA". It matches the Rfam family "Bacterial small subunit ribosomal RNA", at positions 338 to 795 of the family's 1533-position model. The record is from RNAcentral.
CCUACGGGGUGCAGCAGUGAGGAAUAUUGGGCAAUGGGCGCGAGCCUGAACCAGCAAAGUCGCGUGAGGGAAGACGGUCCUAUGGAUUGUAAACCUCUUUUGUCGGGGAGCAAAAGACGCCACGCGUGGCGUUCCGAGAGUCCCCGAAGAAACAGCAUCGGCGAACUCCGAGCCAGCAGCCGCGGUAAUAAGGAGGAUGCGGACGUUAUCAGGGUUUAUUGGGUUUAAAGGGUGCGCAGGCGGAAGAGCAAGUCAGCGGUAAAAUUGAGAGGCUCAACCUCUUCGAGCCGUUGAAACUGGUUUUCUUGAGUGAGCGAGAAGUAUGCGGAAUGCGGGGUGUAGCGGUGAAAUGCAUAGAUAUCACGCAGAACUCCGAUGGCGAAGGCAGCAUACCGGCGCUCAACUGACGCUCAUGCACGAAAGUGUGGGUAUCGAACAGGAUUAGAUACCCGUGUAGUC